RNAcentral lists this long non-coding RNA (446 nucleotides) under Elaeis guineensis (African oil palm). Its description in RNAcentral is "long non-coding RNA (EGUI_LNC045185)". Lineage: Eukaryota; Viridiplantae; Streptophyta; Magnoliopsida; Arecales; Arecaceae. The record is from RNAcentral.
AAUUUUUGGAUGCCUGAAAAGGUUUGUGGCAUGGUGAUUGUGGCACCUUUCCUUGGACAAAAACUCUAAUCCCAAUUCUAUUUAAAAGGGUCUCCUCCUCUUGGCAUCCCAUCUUUGGUUCCCUUGUUGGUGUUUUUGUUUCCAGAGAUUCUCCUCCUCUUCCUCUCUUUCUCCUCCAGAUAUUCUCUAGCUUUGGAGUGUCCAAGGUAUUUGAAGAAGAGGGAAGAAAUCCACCAUCAAAGUUCCUUGCAGGCUAGCACCUCCAAGGACUCAGAUCUGCGUCAGUCUUCGCAUGAAUUUUCUAUAGAGGUCAGACGACUUCGUAUGGCAGCGAGUGACCUGAGAGACACCUUCUCCAAGUGUUAGACUAGUGAAGAUCAAGAUCUUAUUAGUUUGGUAAUUGUUUCUAAGCUAUCUUGAUCAUGUAUGUUAGAUCUAAGAGUUAG